This 3991-nucleotide long non-coding RNA is filed under the name Homo sapiens (human). RNAcentral's name for it is "HSALNT0161757". The record is from RNAcentral. Lineage: Eukaryota; Metazoa; Chordata; Mammalia; Primates; Hominidae.
AUUAAAAGCUGCUAUACACUUUGGAACUGGAAACUGAGCUCCCAAUAUAAAGGAGAUAAGCCAUCAUGCUUACAAUAUGUUGUGCAGAGCUCACUGGUGGGCAGUUUUUCUUAACAAUGCAUCAGGACUUUUGCUAUUUGUAAAGGAAGCUUAAAGGAAGCUGAGAGUGCUGAGGGCACAUCUGAAACCACUGGAGGUUGGCGACGUGGAGGUCAGGUAGUAGUGCUCUCCCACCAGGAGUCCCUCUGCACCCCUGGAGAGAGCAGUCAUUAUGCAGGACAACCCAUCUGCUCAGAACUUUCAGUGGCGACUUGUGGUGUGACUCUGUUCCCAUUCAUCUAUGUGCUGCUGUAGGCUUAGCUUCCCACAGCCUCCCCAGCUUUGCCAUUUGUCAUUAUCAUUUACUCUUAAUAUUUAUUCUAUCUAUGACCCUGAUGCACAGAGUGAUAGCUGAUAGUCUCUUAAAACAACGUUUACAAUUAUUUUGACAGUUUACCGUGUUUUGUUCUCUCAACAAUACUUAGAAUUUGUCUGAGUUAUAGUUGCAUAGACGGCAAUUUUCCUGACCUAGUUUUCUGACUAUGAUUUAUGGGUCAGUAAACUCCUUAAAUGAUGGAAUAUAACAUCUCAGGCCACAGGGAACACUUACUAUCACAUGCUCACUGUUGCAGGACGGAUGCGUGGCCAGCCUCAGGUUGCUAAAUGUUAGGGUGAUCUGCCUUCCUUCUGGGGCGGUGAUUCUCCACUUGUAGAUCCGGCCAUGAGGAUUUAGGUUCGGGUAGUUGGGAGAAGUAGAUGUUCCAGCAGAGCCCUGAAGAUCCCCACCACACUCUGAUGUGGGGGAAGAAAGCCAAGAAAACUUCCAAUCAAAUCAAAAUGUCUCCUUCCAUCAGGAAAGCUCUCAAAAUUCAGGUGUCCUGCGUGUACAAAGAAAAUAAUAAAAAACAAGACCUUGCCCAUGAAGAAAUAUUAAUCUCUCUCAAGAAAACAGGAAAACAUGAAUGAAAAUUAACAUAUUCAAAUAUAUGAAGAAGUGAAAAAAAUGCAACCAGUUAGGGGAAGGAUAUCUCAGGAUAAUGAGGAAGGCCAGUUUUUUGGUUGAAAAAGUGGUUUGAGACAACAGAGUGACAAAUAUCUGCCUUAUGCUACUGCCAGGAGACAUGCAUGACCCUCUUUCUGCCUCAAGCUAUAGAACACCCCUCAAAUAACGGCAUCUGGCAAUGGGAUGUCUCAGCAGCAACAGGUUGCCUUCCCACUACCGUUGCUCUCCCCAGGUGGCCUCCAGGGUAGGCUAUAUGACACCUGGGCUCUGGACAUCCAUUGUUAAUGGUAGAAUUGAGGUAGAGAAUCACUGGUACUGCCCAAAGCCCAUUAAUCUGCACUUCUUUGCAGAGUAUAGACAUGCUUUGCCUUUCUUGGAAGUGAAGAAACUUCAGAGGCUGAAUAAGUACAUGCGAAAAUAAACACCCCAAAGAGAGCAGAUAUAUUUCACUAACCAGAAGUAUGAUAGUCCCAGGUCUCCACAAAGUCUUUUUCACAGCCAGAGGAAUUCUGAAGGUUAAAAUCUUCAAAAGAGAUGGUGAGAUAGUGUCUGGAGAGCCCCUGGAGAUGCCAAUCACAGAAUAAGUUGUCUCUAUAUGGAAGCAUUAGAUGGCCAAUGCUUUCAACAACACCACUUUGCCCUGUUACUCUUCCCCCACACUGAGCUGAAAAAAAAAAGAAAGAAAGAAAGAAAAGAAAGAAAGGAUUCUAUUACAAACUGUGUUUUUUUCAUUUCACCAGCACAUGUGAAAACUUUUAGGUGCCAAGUGACUAUGAAUUGAAGUUUUUAAAAUUCUGAAAAUGCUUAGUGCUUUCCUCAUUAUUUGAAUUCUAGGGUUGAUGUAAACAGAAGUGAUACCACAAGUCCAAUCCAAUAAUGGGAAACAAGAUGACGACCAAAUGGCACAUUCUGUAAUGUCACAUUAAUUCUUUUGGGACACUAUGUAAGAGCUAUCAGUUGCAAGCAAGUUUCAUCUCAAGAACAAACUGGUAGACUCAUCUGACCUGCCUAGAACCUUGUGUUGAUUCUAAAGACUGAACCCAAGCUCACCUGGAAGGGGGGACACCUGCUAUAUCUAGUUUUACUAUCAACUAAACUUUCACUACUGUAACUGAUAUCUCAGGGCCUUGAAAAUUACUAUUCAAUUAUGUCUUAUUAGCUGGAUGUGGUAGCUAAUUGAAUUAUAUGCAGCUUGACCCGGGAUAUAAUAUGAUCUAUGGUGUAGUUAAAUACUGUUACAACUAGCCUUUCUGAACUUUUGCUAUAUUAAAUAUUUGUUUGGUUUGUGUCUAGACCUAUCAGAUACUAAAUUGUGUGCUAUUGUGACCAUACUAUAGUGAAUCUUCAACAAGCAAAGUUACUGCUCAAUUUUUAAGUAAGGAAAUCAAAAUCCUGAAGAGACAUAUUUGCUUUUUAUCCAGUGACUGAUUUGGCACUAGAGACUCAGAGAAAAAAAAAAAGCUUAAUCAUUUUAUAUAUGAUGAGGAAUUCAAAGACAUUGUUCUAAAUAUAGUUAUCUGGUUCUUAAAUAGUUGUAUUACUUAAAGUAAUAAACAUACUGUAGUUCUUCCUUUUCCUUGGCGGAUACAUUCCAAGUCCCCCCAGUGAGUGCCUAAAACCUUGGAUAGUACCAAACCCUAUAUAGACAUAUAGACAAUUUUUUUCUACAUAUAUGUACCUAUGAUAAAGCUUGCUUUAUCAAUUAAACGUAGUAAGAGAUUAACUAAUAAUAAAAUAGAACAAUCAUAACAAUAUACUGUAAGAAAAGUUAUGUAAAUGUGGUCUCUCAAAAUAUCUUGGUGUACUGUACUCACCUAUUUUUUGGGCCUCUGUUUACCAAGUGCAUUGAAACCAUGGAACAUGAAACCAUGGAUAAGAGAGAACUACUGAAUUUCAUAGUAAGCAGAAGAAACAGGAGUUUGAUUUAACUACACAUAUUUCUUCACAAAUAAGUUAGAAAAAAUAUAAAAUAUUCAAGUUUACUAAGAUUACAUUUUAAAAUAAAAAUUAAAAGAGAAAUUAAAGUUGAUGACUGUGGUUUUAAACAUUUACACUCCUUACUUAUUUAUAGCAUUAAAAUAUUUUUAAAAUUAUGCAGAUAGAAUGACUUCUUUUUAAAAAGUCAUGGUUUUAAAAAAAGUUUUAACAUAUUCAUCCUGUAAUAACUCUUUUAUUUAAUAUAAAAAUGUUUUCCAGGGUUUUUAUAGUUUUGUGUUUUACAGUUAAGUCUUCAAUCUAUCUUGAAUUGAUUUUUGUAUAUGGUAUAAGGAAGGGGUCCAGUUUCAAUCUUCCGCAUAUUGCUAGCCAGUUCUCCCAGCAUCAUUUAUUGGAUAGGGAGUCUUUUCCCCAUUGCUUGCUUUUGUCAGCUUUGUUGAAGAUCAGAUGCCUGUAAGUGUGAGGCCCUAUUUCUAAGCUCUCUAUUCCAUUUUAUUGGUCUAUGUGUCUAUUUUUGUACCAGUACCAUGCUGUUUUGGUUACUGUACCCCUGUAGUAUAGUUUCAAGUCAGGUAUUGUGAUGCCUCCAGCUUUGUUCUUUUAGUUUAGGAUUGCCUUGGUUAUUUGGGUUCUUUCUGGGGUCCAUAUGAGUUUUAAAAUAGUUUUUUCUAGUACUGUGAAGAAUGUCAUGGUAGUUUGAUAGGAAUAGCAUUGAAUAUGUAAAUUUGGGGAAGCAGUAUGACCACUUUAAUAAUACUGAUUCUUCCUAUCUAUGAGCAUGGAAUUUUUUUUCAUUUGAUAGGGUGGAGGGUGGGAGAAGGGAGAGGGGCAGAAAAAAUAGCUAUUAGAUACUAGGCUUAGUACCUGAGUGAUGAAAUAAUCUUUAUAAUGACCCCCAUGGCACGAGUUUACCUAUAUAACAAACCUGCACAUGUAACCCUGAACCUAAAAUAAAAGUUAAAAAAUAUAUAUUACCUAUAGAAUACUUGGCCUUGAAUCCCACAUGAGUGGGGC